Molecule: long non-coding RNA, 748 nt
Filed under: Helianthus annuus (common sunflower)
Lineage: Eukaryota; Viridiplantae; Streptophyta; Magnoliopsida; Asterales; Asteraceae
Description: hypothetical non coding rna
Source: RNAcentral
UGGGCCUUUUUCUAACCCGUCAGAGCUUUUCAGAAUUCCUAGGGUUUUGAACAAAUUAACCUCUCCCCAAAAUUCACAGUCACGUUUCACAUCUCCCAGCAGGGCUUAGCAAUUCUCAGCUUUUUGAUUUUGAAGAACUGAUCCUGCUUUCUUGAUUGCCAUAAAUACAGGUUUUGGGUUUAGCGGGUUGGCUUCUUCGAGUUUUCAGAGGUGGAAAUGUAACCCGAUAACCGUACCAUUCUAGAUUCGGGUUCAAUCAUCUUUUUUUGAUUUUCUGGCCUACUCCAUUCCGCCUGUAAGAUGUUUCGGGUCGUCGUUCUUCCUCAUUCAAUUUGGUACACUUCAAGAGCUUGGACCUAAAUGAUCUAGUUGGUGGUACAGAGAUUGGACCAGAAUGGUGUAAGGUAAACGUUCAAGUACAAAUAAAAAAAGAUGAAAACUUGGUAAGACCAUAUGGUUUAUUUUCUACAAUUCAAGAUUGUAUUGGUGCAUCCAUCGCAUGGCCCUAUCCAUUCAUCUCGGUAGUCUAUGAGGAUUGAGGACACAUGAUGACUAAAGAUUUUAUGCUUCUUAUUUCUUUAAUUGCUUUUAAUUUCUUUGUUAAAUGUUAAGACUUUAUGUUAGAUAAUGUUAUAACUUAUUUAUGGUUAGUGUUUUUGUUAAGAACAUGCUUAUUUGAAGUAUAAUGAUUCUUUCAUUAGUUGAUGUUAUACAAUAACUAUUAGGAUGUUAUAUGUUGAAGGUCUGU